UAGUUUGUUUUUCUCUUUUCUCUUUUCUCUUUCUUCUUUCUUCUUCUUUCUCAAGAACUUGCGAGCAGCGAACCUUGAGCUUGAGUACAAAAUCAGGGAG
RNAcentral lists this non-coding RNA (100 nucleotides) under uncultured eukaryote. The record is from RNAcentral.